Molecule: transfer RNA, 86 nt
Filed under: Streptomyces gardneri
Lineage: Bacteria; Bacillati; Actinomycetota; Actinomycetes; Kitasatosporales; Streptomycetaceae
Also listed under: 4 other names
Description: tRNA-Leu
Rfam family: tRNA
About the family: Transfer RNA (tRNA) molecules are approximately 80 nucleotides in length. Their secondary structure includes four short double-helical elements and three loops (D, anti-codon, and T loops).
Source: RNAcentral
GUCCGGGUGGCGGAAUGGCAGACGCGCUAGCUUGAGGUGCUAGUGCCCUUCGGGGCGUGGGGGUUCAAGUCCCCCCUCGGACACCA